GAUUAACGAGAUUCCCACUGUCC
This 23-nucleotide non-coding RNA is filed under the name Arabidopsis thaliana (thale cress). The record is from RNAcentral. Lineage: Eukaryota; Viridiplantae; Streptophyta; Magnoliopsida; Brassicales; Brassicaceae.